AUGUGGCUGCAUUGCAGAUACCAAUGGUUAACUUCUAACAUCAUGCUUCUGUCAACCAAGCUGUAAACUUACUAUAUUGUGUCCAACUUAAAAAAAGAAUUUCCGCAUAGCAUUUUCAAUUGCAAGCGCAAAUCCACACCAUAAGCAUUCUGACAAUGCAGUGCAAGAGUGGGACCCUAAUGACUCACGCGUUGUCUCCUUGACGAGGACUUGCGCUCCUCUUCUAAGAGUUGGGAUGCAUACGAAAGCACAAAUACUAGAAUUUUGAGCAGGCUGUCUACGUCAAGCAUUUUGUUUAACAUGCAGGCCUACCACGAUAGCGAUUUGUGUCUAAAGGGGACAAUGUGUAGACAACAUCUUCAAACUACAUAAGACGAUGGACAACUUUCCAAGUCCAUAAUAAGAUCCUAUAUAUCACAUGUCGGUAACUAAAAGCUAGUAAAUCAAAAGCAAUAAACUUGUAUGAGAUGGAGUAACCCUUAACUUUGAUAUCGUUAUCAAAAUGAUGAAUUAACAGAAAAGGAAAAAGAAUGUUAA
This is a long non-coding RNA of Gossypium raimondii (Peruvian cotton), 537 nucleotides long. RefSeq lists it as uncharacterized. The transcript has 2 exons. Lineage: Eukaryota; Viridiplantae; Streptophyta; Magnoliopsida; Malvales; Malvaceae. The record is from RefSeq and is a predicted model, not a curated record.